GCGGCCGCCCCAGCGCCCGAGGCGCCGGGCCGAGGAGGGCCCGGGGAGGGGAGGCGGGGCCGGGCGGCUCCUCCUCGCCGGGAACUCGGGAUGACCUUGGCCGAGUCGCCCGGGUGACUAGCAUGCAGAUAUUCGCACCCUGACUUGGUUUGGCUGCCUGACUACUGACAUGGCCCACCGGGGUGGGGAGAGGGACUUCCAGACUUCAGCUCGUCGGAUGGGUACCUCCCUGCUUUUCCAGCUUUCAGUGCAUGAGCGGGAACUGGACCUUGUUUUUCUGGAUCAUAGCUAUGCAAAACCGUGGAGUGCCCACCCCGAUGCCAGCAGCGCCCGCCCCACCCGCAUGCUCUUUGUAACUCCCCGUCGGCAGCAGG
This 374-nucleotide long non-coding RNA is filed under the name Rattus norvegicus (Norway rat). Its description in RNAcentral is "long non-coding RNA NONRATT029918". The record is from RNAcentral. Lineage: Eukaryota; Metazoa; Chordata; Mammalia; Rodentia; Muridae.